ACGAAGGGUGCAAGCGUUGCUCGGAAUCAUUGGGCGUAAAGCGAGCGCAGGUGGUCUUGUAAGUCAGGAGUGAAAUCCCAGGGCUCAACCCUGGAAGUGCUUUUGAUACUGCGAGACUUGAAUGUGGGAGAGGGUACUAGAAUACAUAGUGUAGUGGUGAAAUACGUAGAUAUUAUGUGGAACACCGGUGGCGAAGGCGGGUGCCUGGCCCAACAUUGACACUUAGGCUCGAAAGCGUGGGGAUCAAACAGGAUUAGAUACCCUGGUAGUCCACGCCGUAAACGAUGAAUACUUGGUGUUGGUGGUAUUGACCCCACCAGUGCCGAAGCUAACGCGUUAAGUAUUCCGCCUGGGAAGUACGGUCGCAAGAUUA
Molecule: ribosomal RNA, 373 nt
Filed under: uncultured bacterium
Lineage: Bacteria
Description: bacterial SSU rRNA
Rfam family: Bacterial small subunit ribosomal RNA
Source: RNAcentral